RNAcentral lists this long non-coding RNA (199 nucleotides) under Glycine max (soybean). RNAcentral's name for it is "long non-coding RNA (GMAX_LNC002055)". Lineage: Eukaryota; Viridiplantae; Streptophyta; Magnoliopsida; Fabales; Fabaceae. The record is from RNAcentral.
UCUUUUCUGCUCCUUGCGUUAUUUCAGGAGUAAUAACUGAUGAUAGGGGCAUACUUUAUUCUUCGGAUAAUUAAUGAAAAACAGUUUUGGUGAUUUUUUAUGGGUUCGGUGAAAUAAUAUAUAUAUAUAUAUAUACCAGAGGGUCAGCGGAGUAGGAUCAAACGGACAGAUAGGAAGUAAGAAUGCAGUAUGAUUAAUG